Molecule: ribosomal RNA, 468 nt
Filed under: uncultured bacterium
Lineage: Bacteria
Description: partial 16S ribosomal RNA
Rfam family: Bacterial small subunit ribosomal RNA
Source: RNAcentral
GACGAACGCUGGCGGCGUGCUUAACACAUGCAAGUCGAACGGAAAGGUCCUGCUUUUGUGGGGUGCUCGAGUGGCGAACGGGUGAGUAACACGUGAGUAACCUGCCCUUGACUUUGGGAUAACUUCAGGAAACUGGGGCUAAUACCGGAUAGGAGCUCCUGCUGCAUGGUGGGGGUUGGAAAGUUUCGGCGGUUGGGGAUGGACUCGCGGCUUAUCAGCUUGUUGGUGGGGUAGUGGCUUACCAAGGCUUUGACGGGUAGCCGGCCUGAGAGGGUGACCGGCCACAUUGGGACUGAGAUACGGCCCAGACUCCUACGGGAGGCAGCAGUGGGGAAUAUUGCACAACGGGCGGAAGCCUGAUGCAGCAACGCCGCGUGCGGGAUGACGGCCUUCGGGUUGUAAACCGCUUUCGCCUGUGACGAAGCGUGAGUGACGGUAAUGGGUAAAGAAGCACCGGCUAACUACGUG